AUGACGGUGGUGCUUGCACCACCUGAUUAGUGGCGAACGGGUGAGUAACACGUGAGUAACCUGCCCCCCACUUCGGGAUAACCUCGGGAAAUCGUGGCUAAUACCGGAUACGAGCACUCAUCGCAUGGUGGGUGCUGGAAAGAUUUAUCGGUGGGGGAUGGACUCGCGGCCUAUCAGUUUGUUGGUGAGGUGAUGGCUCACCAGGACCAUGACGGGUAGCCGGCCUGAGAGGGCGACCGGCCACACUGGGACUGAGACACGGCCCAGACUCCUACGGGAGGCAGCAGUGGGGAAUAUUGCACAAUGGGCGAAAGCCUGAUGCAUCGACGCCGCGUGGGGGAUGACGGCCUUCGGGUUGUAAACCCCUUUCUCAGGGAAGAAGCGAGAGUGACGGUACCUGCAGAAGAAGCGCCGGCUAACUACGUGCCAGCAGCCGCGGUAAUACGUAGGGCGCAAGCGUUGUCCGGAAUUAUUGGGCGUAAAGAGCUUGUAGGUGGCUUGUCGCGUCUGCCGUGAAAA
This 519-nucleotide ribosomal RNA is filed under the name Brachybacterium sp. AU797. RNAcentral's name for it is "bacterial SSU rRNA". It matches the Rfam family "Bacterial small subunit ribosomal RNA", at positions 69 to 600 of the family's 1533-position model. The record is from RNAcentral. Lineage: Bacteria; Bacillati; Actinomycetota; Actinomycetes; Micrococcales; Dermabacteraceae.